Molecule: long non-coding RNA, 206 nt
Filed under: Elaeis guineensis (African oil palm)
Lineage: Eukaryota; Viridiplantae; Streptophyta; Magnoliopsida; Arecales; Arecaceae
Description: long non-coding RNA (EGUI_LNC012105)
Source: RNAcentral
GGAACAGCCAUAGAGAACUCUAAGGGUCCACCACCACCACCCCAGCAGCCGACCACGUCCUCUCUCCUUGUCCUUUGGGUACAGAGGAGGCGACAGCUGUAGUGGUAGUCGCGGUGGCUGUGGACCAGAUGGUUAGGAGCUAGGGCUUUGUUUUUUUUUUUGGUGAGGAAACAUCGGGGGAGACCGAGAUGUUAAGUGAAACACCA